This 392-nucleotide ribosomal RNA is filed under the name Curvularia kusanoi. RNAcentral describes it as "eukaryotic LSU rRNA". The stretch from base 23 to 175 matches the Rfam family "5.8S ribosomal RNA". The record is from RNAcentral. Lineage: Eukaryota; Fungi; Ascomycota; Dothideomycetes; Pleosporales; Pleosporaceae.
ACAACAAAUGUAAAUCAUUUACAACUUUCACAACGGAUCUCUUGGUUCUGGCAUCGAUGAAGAACGCAGCGAAAUGCGAUACGUAGUGUGAAUUGCAGAAUUCAGUGAAUCAUCGAAUCUUUGAACGCACAUUGCGCCCUUUGGUAUUCCAAAGGGCAUGCCUGUUCGAGCGUCAUUUGUACCCUCAAGCUUUGCUUGGUGUUGGGCGUUUUGUCUUUGCUCGCCAAAGACUCGCCUUAAAACGAUUGGCAGCCGACCUCUUGGUUUCGCAGCGCAGCACAAUUUUGCGCUUGCAAAUCACCAAGUUGGCACUCCAUCAAGAACAUUUUCUUACGUUUGACCUCGGAUCAGGUAGGGAUACCCGCUGAACUUAAGCAUAUCAAUAAGCGGAG